Molecule: non-coding RNA, 80 nt
Organism: Parachaetomium inaequale
Lineage: Eukaryota; Fungi; Ascomycota; Sordariomycetes; Sordariales; Chaetomiaceae
Source: the annotation of a GenBank genome assembly
GCCCGCUUGGCUCAGUGGUAGAGCGUGUCACUCGUAAAGACGUUAUGACAAGGUCAUUAGUUCGAUUCUGAUAGUGGGCA